AUGGAAGCAUUUCAAAUGGUAUGGGUCAAUGAAAUGCAAAAACUAACUCUCUUGGCACAUUCAGCUGCUAUUAAAAAAUACCUUAGAUGGGUAGUUCAUAAGCAUAAACGUAUUUCUCACAGUUCUGGAGAGUGCGAAGUUCAAGACCAAGUAUCGGGAGAACCCACUCCCGAUGGUUACAUACAAGAAAGAUUGGAGACCUGUGUGCCUGGCAAUUGCCUUGUUGAAAGGAAGCCCUCAGCAAAAGUUGGUUGAUGGAUUUGGCCAACAAGGAGUCCCAGCAAGAGAAGGAAGAAGACAGGAAAGUGAGGUCAGAGUAUUCUUUUCCCCGGCUCCCUCUCUAGGAGUUUGUCUUGGACUGAGUGUUUCACUUGACUAACCGGUAUGUUCCUCUUCUUCGAGGUUCUAGUCAUCUCUCCCUCAUCUUAUCCCUUCAGUCUUCAGGUUCUUGC
This 452-nucleotide long non-coding RNA is filed under the name Papio anubis (olive baboon). RNAcentral's name for it is "lncRNA (ENSPANG00000040918.1)". The record is from RNAcentral. Lineage: Eukaryota; Metazoa; Chordata; Mammalia; Primates; Cercopithecidae.